Molecule: long non-coding RNA, 285 nt
Organism: Acipenser ruthenus (sterlet)
Lineage: Eukaryota; Metazoa; Chordata; Actinopteri; Acipenseriformes; Acipenseridae
Exons: 3
Source: RefSeq, a predicted model, not a curated record
ACCCCAACCCGCCCCCACGGCAACUACAGAACUCAAAGCGAGGCUACACAUAGACGGACCUCUACAAAAAUGAAACUUAGCAGAUGUGUAGUUCAUGGAUCCUGAAGUCUGUAUAGAAGAUCACCUGGAAGAAGGAGAGGGGAACACUCAGCAGAUGUGAUGGCCAUUCUUUGCCAUGCUAGUGCCUCCUCCGGGGGCAGACUGACCCCAUCUCCAUGUGCCAGUGCUGCUCAUCAUCCCUCCGCCUCUUCAGAACUGCCUUCUGCUUCUGCUUCCUCAUCUUUC